CCUACGGGCGGCAGCAGUGAGGAAUAUUGGUCAAUGGGCGCGAGCCUGAACCAGCCAAGUCGCGUGAGGGAUGACGGUCCUACGGAUUGUAAACCUCUUUUGCCGGGGAGCAAGCGUGCGUUCGUGAACGCGCGUCGAGAGUACCCGGAGAAAAAGCAUCGGCUAACUCCGUGCCAGCAGCCGCGGUAAUACGGAGGAUGCGAGCGUUAUCCGGAUUUAUUGGGUUUAAAGGGUGCGUAGGCGGACUGUUAAGUCAGCGGUAAAAGCCCGGGGCUCAACCCCGGCGAGCCGUUGAAACUGGCUGUCUUGAGAUGUCGAGAGGUAUGCGGAAUGCGCAGUGUAGCGGUGAAAUGCUUAGAUAUUGCGCAGAACUCCGAUUGCGAAGGCAGCAUACCGGCGGCGAUCUGACGCUGAGGCACGAAAGCGUGGGUAUCGAACAGGAUUAGAUACCCUUGUAGUC
Molecule: ribosomal RNA, 460 nt
Filed under: uncultured bacterium
Lineage: Bacteria
Description: partial 16S ribosomal RNA
Rfam family: Bacterial small subunit ribosomal RNA
Source: RNAcentral